Molecule: ribosomal RNA, 262 nt
Filed under: uncultured bacterium
Lineage: Bacteria
Description: partial 16S ribosomal RNA
Rfam family: Bacterial small subunit ribosomal RNA
Source: RNAcentral
CGACCGGCGCACGGGUGAGUAACACGUAUGGAACCUGCCCGCAGCAGGGGGAUAAGCGGAAGAAAUUCCGUCUAAUACCGCGUAACAACGUUGGGAGGCAUCUCCCGAUGUUUAAAGAUUUAUCGGCUGCGGAUGGCCAUGCGGCGCAUUAGCUAGUCGGCGGGGUAACGGCCCACCGAGGCGACGAUGCGUAGGGGUUCUGAGAGGAAGGUCCCCCACACUGGUACUGAGACACGGCCCAGACUCCUACGGAAGGCAGCAG